UACGUAGGGUGCAGGCGUUAAUCGGAAUUACUGGGCGUAAAGCGUGCGCAGGCGGUUUUGUAAGCCAGAUGUGAAAUCCCCGGGCUUAACCUGGGAAUGGCAUUUGGGACUGCAAGGCUGGAGUUUGGCAGAGGAGACUGGAAUUCAUGGUGUAGCAGUGAAAUGCGUAGAGAUCAUGAGGAAGACCAGUGGCGAAGGCGGGUCUCUGGACAGUUCCUGACACUGAGGCACGAAGGCCAGGGGAGCAAACGGG
Molecule: ribosomal RNA, 253 nt
Filed under: uncultured bacterium
Lineage: Bacteria
Description: partial 16S ribosomal RNA
Rfam family: Bacterial small subunit ribosomal RNA
Source: RNAcentral